RNAcentral lists this ribosomal RNA (462 nucleotides) under uncultured bacterium. RNAcentral describes it as "partial 16S ribosomal RNA". It matches the Rfam family "Bacterial small subunit ribosomal RNA", at positions 29 to 507 of the family's 1533-position model. The record is from RNAcentral.
AGUGAACGCUGGCGGCGUGCCUAAUACAUGCAAGUCGAACGAACGAAUAAGAGCUUGCUCUUAUAAGUUAGUGGCGCACGGGUGAGUAAUAUAUAGCUAAUCUGCCUCUUAGUAGAGGAUAACAGUCGGAAACGAUUGCUAAUACUCUAUACUUCUGCUUUACAUAAGUAAAGUAGAGAAAGUUUUUCGCUAAGAGAUGAGGCUAUACUGUAUCAGCUAGUUGGUAAGGUAACGGCUUACCAAGGCUAUGACGCAUAACUGGUCUGAGAGGAUGAUCAGUCACAUUGGACCUGAGACACGGUCCAAACUCCUACGGGAGGCAGCAGUAGGGUAUAUUGCGCAAUGGGCGAAACCCUGACGCAGCAACGCCGCGUGGAGGAUGACACUUUUCGGAGCGUAAACUCCUUUUAUCGGGAAAGAAUAAUGACGGUACCCGAUGAAUAAGCACCGGCUAACUCCGUG